AAGUCGUAACAAGGUUUCCGUAGGUGAACCUGCGGAAGGAUCAUUAACACAAAAAACAAUCCCAUAUCCACCCUUUUUUAUAACGAACUCUGGUUACAAUACCAUUGUCUCUUCUUUAUCCAACCUUUUAUUUUUACCCCAACUUUUAUAACCAAAAUGCAAUAGACUGAUAUUUAUUUAUCAUCCUUAAAAAAUGAUAUGUAAAACAACUCUUAGCAACGGAUAUCUUGGCUCUC
Molecule: unclassified non-coding RNA, 236 nt
Filed under: fungal sp.
Lineage: Eukaryota; Fungi
Description: partial internal transcribed spacer region
Rfam family: Eukaryotic small subunit ribosomal RNA (bases 1-46)
Source: RNAcentral